AACGAACGCUGGCGGCAUGCCUAACACAUGCAAGUCGAACGAGACCUUCGGGUCUAGUGGCGCACGGGUGCGUAACGCGUGGGAACCUGCCCUUAGGUUCGGAAUAACUCCCCGAAAGGGGUGCUAAUACCGGAUAAUGUCUUCGGACCAAAGAUUUAUCGCCUUUGGAUGGGUCCGCGUUGGAUUAGCUAGUUGGUAGGGUAAAAGCCUACCAAGGCGACGAUCCAUAGCUGGUCUGAGAGGAUGAUCAGCCACACUGGGACUGAGACACGGCCCAGACUCCUACGGGAGGCAGCAGUGGGGAAUAUUGGACAAUGGGCGAAAGCCUGAUCCAGCAAUGCCGCGUGAGUGAUGAAGGCCUUAGGGUUGUAAAGCUCUUUUACCCGGGAUGAUAAUGACAGUACCGGGAGAAUAAGCUCCGGCUAACUCCGUG
RNAcentral lists this ribosomal RNA (433 nucleotides) under uncultured bacterium. RNAcentral describes it as "partial 16S ribosomal RNA". It matches the Rfam family "Bacterial small subunit ribosomal RNA", at positions 29 to 507 of the family's 1533-position model. The record is from RNAcentral.